Molecule: long non-coding RNA, 6691 nt
Organism: Acanthochromis polyacanthus (spiny chromis)
Lineage: Eukaryota; Metazoa; Chordata; Actinopteri; Pomacentridae
Exons: 4
Source: RefSeq, a predicted model, not a curated record
CUAUCACCGCCUCCACCGUAUCUCUAUCCUCGCCUCACUCUCACCUCAAAGUCUUUGCAGCAAGAAUGAGGAUCAACGCCUUAGUGUCAAAGAGGAGGAAUGUAGGCUAACAAUUCCUGACUGUGGGCUCACAGGUAUCGGUUCCGGGUGCUAACUUCGGUUUGUUGCUUUUUGAUAAUUCUCCCAAACUGACAAAGUGACAGCCUCUCACUUGAAAUCUCCUUUUUACUUGCUGCUCACCACAAUCCUGAUCCCAGACUUGAAGCAGCGACAAAAGCUGGCUCGUCAGGGAUAACAGAUGAGCGUAGAUGAACAGUGUCAGGAGGGGACGGCUCAUGUGACUGGAGCUGUGCAGCAUGACAAGUUGCCAUGUUGUGAAAUCCGAACGUAAGUGACACGAGGCUGCACUACAUUUCAUGACCAUACGCUUAAGAGCAUGGUUAUUUUGGGACAUGUUCUUUUCACGAUUUUAUUUUCUUCUUCUUUUUUUUUUCCUCUUGGGGUUAUAAAGUAUUCACAGACUAAAAAAAUAGCGGCGCUCACUAACUCAUCCAGACCUCGCAGCCUGAAUGUGCAGCCUUGGCAUUGUUACUGUAGCUCUGAGGGGAGAAAGUGAAUUGGUCUAUCAGCUUUCCAACAACAACACAGAGUGAAUGGCAAGGUAGCUAGAGCACAGACUUGGUUAGCUCGCUGAUUAGAUGACAAGCUGUAAGGUUCGGUCAAUCAAGUACGCUUCAGAACUGCUCAUUUAAGGCUCUCGGUUAGAAAUGACGUUUUCAGCUAUCCCCACAGGAGAGCACAAACCCAAGAAGAGAUCUCAUGUUUCUAUUUUUUUUUUCCUUGAGCUUGUUGUAACACAAAGAUGAGACCUGGGAGUUUUCUCCUACUUUUCAAAUUCAGCUGAAGACAAGAACCAGAAAGCUAAGUUUGUGUAACAUACAGAAAAACUAGUAAAUAAAUACUAAGUUAUUUAUUUUACCAUUUUUUAUUACAUUAUAUUUUUUCAGACUUAAGUAUUAGCGUGUUGCUAUAUUACUGAUAUUUUAAAAAUUAAACAUAGCUAUCAUGUUAGUGAUAUUAUUGUAAAUAGUCCAGUUCCAGUACAGCCUGAGAUCAUAAAAAGGUUCGUGAAUAACACUCCAAGUCACAUUGCAUGUCAUCAGAAUGCAUUUUUCACAUGUGCCAUGUCAUUGCACGCCAUAUAAUAGCAACGAAUGACCUGCUCUCUCUGACCUUAACCAUAACCUAAAUGCAUGGACAUGACAAGCAAAAUUCUCCUGAAGUGGUGAGCCAUCUAUAUGCAAUCCCAUGAUAUCAGGUUAGCCAGUAACCAGCUGGUUGACACUCACACAUGGAGGGAACAUAUUCUCUACUUGUGGUUACAGACUCUCAGUCCACCUCUCUAUAUUCAUAUUUUGAGUGAAAUUUGUUUCCUACAAAAGAGAUAAAACACAUAUUAAACAAAACAAAAGCUGAAUUUUACUCCUCAAUAUUAAGCCAGAUAACAAAUACAAAUCUAUUGAUAUAAUUAUUAUUCAUAUAAUUAAAUGAAGCGUGUCGCCUUGCAAUAGUAGUUCACACCCCAUGUGAAGAUUUGUUAUGAAGUUGUUAUGGGUUACUGCUGACAAUGAGGUACUUUUGCGCAUUUAUUCCUGAUUAAAAUAUUGAGAUUGUUUACACUUUUAAUAUGUUUAACAUUUAAAAUGUUCAAUGUUUGUUCAUUGUCUUAUUCUCUGUGUCUCCUCUCUUUUUUAAAGCAUAUUACUUCUUUUAGCUACUUUAAAUGUUAUUUGUGAGACUGACCACACUUUUGACAGGUGGUGUUUUAGAUCUGGAUUCCUGCUGCCAAAGUUUUGCAAGAGCCAGAAAACUCACCCUUCAUUUCAGACUCCCACAACCCUUUCUCUCUUCGCAGAGGAGCAGGGCCAGAGGUGGGGAAGAGGACCUGUCUGCGGUCCGGCUACAUCUGCCAGAGCUUCCUCCCACCUGUCUGAUGCUGCUGAAAUUUAUGUGGCUGUAUAGGAGGAGGCCAAACCAAUGUGCCAGGCCAUGUGUAGGCUUCCUUUUACACUGACAGUUGUGUGUAUGAAACUGUAGCUGGUUUCCAGUGAGGCUUGGCCCAGUGUAUCUGGAAUCUGUCAUGAGCGAAAGCUUGAAAAGGUUAGGACAGUUCAGGGAAGAUAAAUGGUGAAUGGGGAGGACAGCUGAUGUAGGAACACAAACACUUCAAGACGAUGGAGUGGACUGAGGCUGAGUUCCUAUAUCCUACUACACACCGCUGGUUCCUGUGCUACAGCUGCUGCAGAUGCAGGAAAUCAUCUGUUGUAUGCUCCACUAACAGAACUUUCUACAGACCAUUCACAUGAGCCACUCUAUUACUCUCAUCAAAACAAAUGAUAAAGAAUGGUUAUUAGGUUUUCACGAUGUCUUUUGUGUAAUAAAGCUCGUUAACUGCAUUGUGCAAAACAAAUGGGCAGAAUAAUCAGUAUACUUAUUGACAUUGUGUCAUUUCUAGUUAGAGCAGGAAGAGGACUCUCACUAUGGCUCCAGGCUUCGCCUUCUAUCUCUCAAGAGGAAGAGCGCUAAUGGUUUCUGAAAGCAGGGAUCGAAGGAACUCAUAAAGCUCUGCAGGACGACAUGAGAGGAGGAAGAACAUUAUUAAUCCUUUUUCAUCGGAAUACAUGACGUUCUGUGCAAUACAGCACGCAGGCUUGAGACCACUAUUACACGGCAUCACAAUAAAUGAUUGCACAGGGCAACCUGCAUGAUGCAAUUCAGAAAUUAAAGGAAGUGGACUUUUUACUUUUCAUUUCUCUGCAUUUCAAAAGUCAAAUAACUGGGUGUCAGCCAGGAAAACUGGUUCCAUCGGCACCAAAACUUUGUUUGUCUAGAACCAAAAACAGCCAACAAACUAAAACUUCGUCAUGGCCAUUAAAAACCCACAACAAUAAAAAAAAACUGAGCCACGAUAUAGAUGACUAUUUGUCUUAUUAUGUCUGGUGUUUACGAAGAGUGGCACAAUGGCGUGCAAAAAAAACCAAGGGCGUUUCUAAAUGACAUUUGAUUUGUUAAUAUCAGCUGGCUUUUAACUGCUGAAGUUAAACAAUGGCAGGUCAAUGACACAAAUGUUGAUUUUUUCGGCUUUCCAGGAGUGGUCUAUGGGAGAGGCAAAGCAUCACUUUGCACUGUGAUCCUUGACAGAAGUUCAGGAUGAACUGUAGGGAGUUUCAGUAGCAAAAUGUUUGAACCGACAUUUUCAUUGAUGUAAUGACAUAUUUGAUAUAGUGUAGGACAUAGAAAAGCAUCCUAGUUCAGGUUUUAAACUCUGCACCAGCCAGGCCCAGGGUGGAGGACCAGGACAAUUCCCGGUGGGCCGGUCUGAUGUUUGGGCCGUGAGGGCCGGUGUUCACUUUUUUUGGGCCGGUGUUCAGUCAUGGCACUGGGUUGAUCAUUAUUGCUUCUACCGCUGUUCCUGGGCCGCCUCCACUUGGAGCUCUUUUUUUUUUUUUUUUUUUGCAGACGCACCGUGACGUAACACGUCUGUGUAGACGGUCAGAGGUGUUUGAGAGAUGGAAACAGGAAGAGCAAGGGUGGUGCGGAGAAGGUAAGAAUUAAAACAGGACAGCUCUGGAAACAGACGCAGCCGAAUGUGCAGAAAUUAGAAACUUUUUCACUAAAGCUCACGGUUUGAAACGACAAAUGAGGCAGGAGAAACGAAUACGGACUUUGUCAAACUUUGCAAACCACCAUUCAAGUUAAUUAUCAAAUCAAUUAAUUGUGUGUCAUUGUGGUGUAAAACAUAAUGUUAUAUAAUUUAAAUAAUAGUAUGAUGCGACCACAUAUCUGAAACGUUGUCCUGCAGCCCCUCAGGGUCAGAAGAAAGAUCCAGCAGCAAGCAGCAGCCAAGAGCCACAAGUCCAGAGUGGGAGAUGUUCAGAGGGAGCUGAUGUCACAUCUGGUCCAGCCAAUGGAAGGUCUUGAAGUUCUCUGACUGAAGGUGGUCCUCUCACUGGAUUUAAGGUUCAGAUGCUCAGGAACCAACUCCACCAAUGAGCCAACAGGGAAGCUUUAGGUUUAUUAAAUGUUGCUAUGAAGCAUGAAAACUAGACUCUCCACAAGGAUCCAAAAUAAGUUGGACUUCUACAUGAGAGCUUUAGUUUUUCUUCAUCUACUUCCUGAAAAGUUUGGUCAAUAAAAAAGGCAAAAACAAAUAUUUUCAGCUGAACUAAAGACAGACUUUGCAAAUUUUUCGGCUCACAUUUUGUGUUGCUGUAAACUUACUCUUUCAAAUAAAUAGCCUCCUAAGCCCCUGGAAACUAGCCUAGCCGCGCUAGACCCAGGUCUGAAGACGCAAGGGUCUAGGAACUCUUGAAAGGGGGGGGGGGGCGGGCUAAAAGGUUGUCUUUCAAAUCACUCUGCAGCAGUUGGGUAGGUAUACAACCAAUCAGUGCAACGAAUAGGCUGACGUAGAGCCUAGAGCGCCGGAAAUCAGAGGAUGCGGGAGUUCGGUGAAGCCUUAUUUAUACAGUCAAUGGGUGAAGCUCAAGUAUAUUACAGACAUGUUAACAGAAAGAUUAUUCAGUCGGUGCUAAUGGAGCUCAAUGACUGUUGUUUAUUGUGCACAGCCAUCUUCUUGUCUAUCCUUUUUUCUAUGGUUGUUUCCGGUUGUUUCUGUCAGAAUCGUCGCGCCUCUGUCGUCACUUAGUUACGCCUGCCUUCUGACUCUACACUUCAUGGUGAUUUGUCUGCCAGUUUUAGGAGAAUCCAACCUCGAGGCAUACCGAGGGUAACUAGACCGACCCUGGCAGAGAAUUAAAUUCGUUGCCGUGGGUUGUCCAGAGCGACAAGGCUACCUGGAAAACAGUGUUUGUCUUGUUUAUGUUUUGCUCCUCGGCGACCUUAGACAGCCGGGUCGUAAUGUUUUUUGAGCAACACACCAUACUGUGAUGUUUUUACAGUGAAGGUUCUACUAUGGAACCAGUUUGACAUGUUUGGGCAUUCUAUGUGUGAAAACUCAGAGAUUUCAGGUAUCAGAAGGUGGUUUUCAACUUUCUUUGUUAACUUUCUGUUUCAACUUUAAACUAAAUUUACUUCACUAAGCCAGUCCUCUGGACUUCCAGUAAGCUAUUUGUAGCGCUUGUAUCACUGAUAUAACCCUUUAAACUACUGGACCAAUUCUAGGUUCUGAAGGAGUGGGGAAACAACACUAAAAUUAGACCAGAGACCAUGUACUUUAAAUACAAAAGCCGGCACUUUAGUGAAUUUUUGACACAGAUUUAAGACAAACAAUAUUCAAUAUUAGCAACUGUUCAACGAUCCCUGCAGGUAAAAUAAAAAUAGGAAAAAUAAAGGUGCUUCACUCUUUUCCCUUUUUUAGGCUCUUCCUUUUAGUAUUAGAGACAGUUUAGUUCACUGAACCACUUUGUUGAGCAGUUUGUUAGGUUAAACUCUUUAUCUUAGAUUCAACCACACUCUUUUCAUUAAUUUAGACCGGUCUGUUAAUGUUUAUCUUAUUUAGGUUACUAAUUUGUACCUAAUUUGAGUUUAGUUAUACUCUUGAGUUAACUCUUCCUUCUAUUUCACAGGUAAGAAAGUAAAACCACAAUUCCCAAAUGAAAAUGAAUUGCAACACAAUCACAUCUCACUCAUAACUGAUGAUUAUGAACAACCAUGAACAUGUAACAUUUCAGUUUCACUUCAAGUUCAGUUCCAAUUAUGUUCUCAGUUCCAGUUCAGUUGUUUUCUCCAACUCAGUUUAGUUCAAAUAGAGGAAAAAGAAAGAAUCCAAUACUCCUACCACUCAGGCAGCGAGUUUACCAACAGCUCCAAAGCGACAGCAGUGUCCUCACUGGCACGAUGAAGAUGAGUUCUUGUCACUGAAAACAGAGUUCACGGGUCUGGCUCGCCAUCUAAAAUCCCACGUCGUGUGAGCGUCGUCUCCUCGCACGCCACGGAACAGAAAGUCUCUGACCAAUUCAGCAGGACCAAAAAACCUGACCUGCACAACAGGUCAUAAAUAAAAUGAAUUAUCCUGGCUACAUGAACUAAAACUGCAACUCUGCAUGCUCGUACAAUCUUAACAUUACUGCUAAGUCGCUCAUCAAAGAAGACAUGGUUGCAGAGCAGCAUUUUUGAGUCUAAAAGCAUUGUCCUUUAAACAAAAUGAAAUGUUUUAAAUGCAGUGAAACUCUUCCACUAACAUGACAUGUAAUGAUACACAUUUGGUCUCCUCAAUAAACAAAACAUUCACCGCUAAACAGAAUUAACGAUUUCCUCCACGUUUCAACAUUAGCCCUUUUGCUAGCAUCCACGUGCGUACACGUUGCAGAAAAAGUUUACCAUAAAACAAAUCAAAACUCACCAAAAACCGUCGCGGUUAACUUCAACACAAUCCUCGCGCAUCAGCAACCGGGCUGGUUUUCUUUUCCCAAUCUCCAAUAAACUCGUUUUAAAGAAGUUUUGUUCGUUAUUUUUCUCUGCUUUUCUCCUCUCCGUCUCUCGUCUGCUCUCUGCUGCGCUGUGCAGCACGUUUUGGUUAAAGGCACAAGGCAGCAAAACGCUUAAAGGGGAAGGAGCAUUGUAAUUUUUAACAGCCAUACUUUUAAUCAUUUUAAUUAAAGGAGCUUUCUGACUGUUUUUAACUGACUUUCAAUUAAUUAAAUGAACAUAUUUCAAGCAAAUGAACUUAUUU